UACGUAGGGGGCGAGCGUUAUCCGGAUUUACUGGGUGUAAAGGGAGCGCAGGCGGCAGGGCAAGUCAGAUGUGAAAUACCGGGGCUCAACCCCGGGACUGCAUUUGAAACUGUCCGGCUAGAGUGCAGGAGAGGCAGGCGGAAUUCCUAGUGUAGCGGUGAAAUGCGUAGAUAUUAGGAGGAACACCAGUGGCGAAGGCGGCUUGCUGGACGAUGACUGACGUUGAGGCUCGAAAGCGUGGGGAGCAAACAGG
This 253-nucleotide ribosomal RNA is filed under the name uncultured bacterium. RNAcentral's name for it is "partial 16S ribosomal RNA". It matches the Rfam family "Bacterial small subunit ribosomal RNA", at positions 524 to 776 of the family's 1533-position model. The record is from RNAcentral.